UCCCUUAUCCUUCGGGAGGCAGCCGUAGGGAAUUUUGCCAAAGGGGGGAAAUCUGGCCGAGCACGCCGCGUGAGUGAAGAAGGUCUUCGGAUCGUAAAGCUCUGUUGUCAGAGAAGAACAGGGAUGAGAGUAAACCGUUCAUCCCUUGCCGGUCUCUAACCAGAAAGCCCGGCCUAACUAGUGCCCGCCGCCCGGGGAAUUAGA
Molecule: ribosomal RNA, 204 nt
Filed under: uncultured Enterococcus sp.
Lineage: Bacteria; Bacillati; Bacillota; Bacilli; Lactobacillales; Enterococcaceae
Description: partial 16S ribosomal RNA
Rfam family: Bacterial small subunit ribosomal RNA
Source: RNAcentral